GGAAUUUUGCGCAAUGGGGGAAACCCUGACGCAGCAAUACCGCGUGUGGGAUGAAGGCCUUCGGGUCGUAAACCACUUUUUUCGGGGACGAUAAUGACGGUACCCGAAGAAUAAGCCACGGCUAACUACGUGCCAGCAGCCGCGGUAAUACAUAGGGUGCAAGCGUUGUCCGGAAUUAUUGGGCGUAAAGAGCUCGUAGGCGGUUGAGUAAGUCGGGUGUGAAAACUCUGGGCUUAACCCGGAGACGCCAUCCGAUACUGCUCUGACUAGAGUUCAGGAGGGGAGUGGGGAAUUCCUAGUGUAGCGGUGAAAUGCGCAGAUAUUAGGAGGAACACCGGUGGCGAAGGCGCCACUCUGAACUGAAACUGACGCUGAGGAGCGAAAGCAUGGGUAGCAAACAGGAUUAGAUACCCUGGUAGUCCAUGCCGUAAACGGUGGGCACUAGGUGUGGGUUCCAACUAACGGGAUCCGCGCCGUCGCUAACGCAUUAAGUGCCCCGCCUGGGGAGUACGGUCGCAAGACUAAAACUCAAAGGAAUUGACGG
Molecule: ribosomal RNA, 544 nt
Filed under: uncultured bacterium
Lineage: Bacteria
Description: bacterial SSU rRNA
Rfam family: Bacterial small subunit ribosomal RNA
Source: RNAcentral